CAGAGACUAGAGAUUAGUGUUCUGCAUCUAGACAUGUGAGCUUCUCUCUGAUGGGGAAUAUGGAGACUGAGCGACCUGAGUCAAAUGUAAUGGACCGUGUUGGUGGCCCUGUGCUACUUACGGGUCAAGGACUCGGGAUUGCAAAUAGUGCCAUGGAGACGAUGAAAAUCCAUGAGGAGAAUCAGACAAAGUUGCAGGCGAUGUCCCAGAGUGAGAUCCUUGAGGAACAGAGGAAGCUGCUGGCACAGCUUGGCCCUAGAUUAGUAGACUUUGUGAGAUCUCGAGGGGCACAGAGAACCCCAGGAUCUGAGUCAGGAUCUGGUACUGUGCAAAGAGAAGACAUCCAGAAUGAACCUCUGCCUGACAGCACGUCUCCACAGUUAGACCACACAAUAAAAACUCAGGAAUCUCAAAGGGAUACCAUGGAGGAUGAUGAGAAAGAUGAGAAUCAGCUUCUAGCUCAACCUCCAAUUACAGAGGAGGAGCUGCCAAUCAAGCCUCAAAAGGAAUGGCUUCACAUGGACAAGGUGGAGCCAGAAAAACUGGAAUGGACAAGAGACCUUCCUGCACCCAGGAAGCAGAGCACCAAAAAGGCUAUGCAAGCACGUUUUGAUUUUGCUGGCUCUCUCAUCCCACCCACCGAAGACGUGCCCACCCAUUUAGGCCUGCAUCACCAUGGAGAGGAGCCAGAGCUGGCUGGCUACUCACUGCAAGAGCUUUUCCUCCUCUCUCGCAGUCAGCUGAACCAACAGCGCAAUCUGGCCGUCAGCACUCUCGCUAAUAUCCUGGCCAAAGCCCGGGCUGGUGAGUACAUUUCCUCUCUAAAGGGCAGCGUCUUGUCUUCUUUAUUGGAUUCUGGAGUCCUCUUUCUUCUGCGGUUCUCCCUGGAUGACAGUGUGGAGGGUGUGAUGUCAGCAGCAGUGCAUGCCUUGCGAGCUCUUCUGGUUUCAUCUGACGAUGAAGAGUGCUUGGAUAAUUCCUUCUCAUGGCUGCUCGGGAUGGCAACCUUUCCUUUACUGCCCACUGCUCAGGAGGAUGAGGACGAGGAUGAUGAAGGCUUGAAUGAGACCAUGAAAGAAACUGCUAAAGAGAAAGAAGAAAGAAAAAUAGAUCAUGAUGUUGCUAGGCAGGAUGUUGUCAAGGGCUUUCUGAAGAUGCAGGGUCUUCCUCGGCUGCGGUAUAUCGUGGAGGUGGUGCGGCCCUCCCCCCGGGUUGUUCUUGAUAUUCUGGAGGUUCUGAUCCGAAUCGCUCGCCACUCGACUGCUGCAGCAACACAGAUCCUGGACUGUCCGCGGCUGAUGAACUCUGUGAUUUCGGAGUUUCUUCCCUGCUCCUGGGCUCCUGCCACCUCACAGGCUCCGUCCUCUUUGUAUGGGCUCCCGGUUGCCUUGGCGAUGAAGCUGCUUCGUGUUUUAGCAAGUGCUGGGAGGCAUGCUUGUGCUAGAAUACUGAACUCUCUAGGAGGGAAGGAGGUUUUGUCACGUUUCGUGGUUGUGGAACCGUCAGAGAUGUUGCUGGAAGCAGGUGAAGCUCUUCGCUGCAGUACAGAGGCGCUGAGGCUGUUCGCAGUGGCUGCCAGCUAUGGACAGGCUUGCAGUCUGUACACAGACCUGUAUCCUGUGCUGGUGAAGAGGUUGCAGGCUGGGAACCGGCUGUGUGCUUCAUCUGAGGACCCUUUCAGAGCUCUGCUCGUGCUGCUGACUCGGGUCACUCAGACGGCAGGAUGCCAUGAAGAACUGCAGAGAGACCUAGUCAGUGCUCAGGGUACAGAGUGUCCUCCACCUCCUCCGGUUGUGUGGAGUCAUGUGACUGGUCUCCAGCCCACUGUCAUCAGCUCUCUCAAGGGCUAUGUGAGAGCACUCGAUGGCCCGGCUCAAAUGUCAAGUGCUCUGAUUCUGCUUCCAUCCUACCUGCUGUACAUGGAAGCGUAUUAUUCACAGCUCUGUGUACAAAGCUCUUUCCAGCCGGUACAGUGUCUGCAAGAACUCGAGGCAUUAACUUCAGACAUGCUUCUGCCACUGAUAUCCCAUCAGGCCAUGCAAAAUAUAACCAGCAGCUUUAGGUCCAGCUCUAUGAUCUGUAACCCCGGGCUGAGUGCAGCUGGUGUGGAGGUCGUCUCCAGUCUGCCAGGUCUGGGCUGCUCGAGGAUGAAGACCUCCAGCACAAUGGCAGGGCUCAACUCCCCUCUGCCUCUCCCUACUGCCCUCCUGUACCUGCUGAACACCAUCACCUCCAUCCACAAAGGCUUAAUAAAGAAGUUCAGUCCUAUCAUCCUCUCGGACUCUGUACUGAGUUAUCUGCGGUCUUGUAUCGGAGCCAUGCCCACUGUUUCUCACACGAGUGCCUGGAUUUUACGCCAUGAGCACCACCUGCUGUAUCUGCUCCUCAGACUGGCUCACAAUCUGGUUCCAGUUGACCCAGAGGUGGCCAAACACGCAGUCUUGUUCCACCAUGUAUCGCUGGCUCUAGUGUCCUGGCUGCUGCCUGGCAGUGAAUAUCUGGCACAUGAACUCAUGUCUGUCAUGACCUUCAGUCACAGCCUCCUUCCGGAGGGUGUCUCUGGUGAACCAGAGAUGGCUGCGUUGGCUGAGCUGCAGCUUAAAGACAGGACUUCACCUGCCGUUGGUGCUCUGCUGCGUGAGGCUCUCCAUCAUUUGCCCUCCAUCCGCGGUUGUUACCUCACCCACCUUGCACACAUGGAAUCCUCUGUUCUUUCAUCCCGUGACCGGUACCUCAGCCGAACGCCUUUUGUCAGCUCUCAUCUCCUACCUGAACUUACUGGCCCCUCCCUGCCCUCUGAUUGGCCCUUCUUACCGCUCAUAAGUCUCUAUGAGCGAAUGGGGCUGCCAUCUGGUGGUGGGCAUCAGGUUGAGUGUCUUCCAGCAGGGUCAGUGCAGUCAGUCACUAACUGCCUUCAAUGGCUGCUUGUUCUGGAGAGUUGGAGAGAGCAGGCUCUCACGGCGGUGCCACCAGUGGCAAAGUUAGCCCGGCUAGCCUGUGUCUUUCUGGGCUCCAGUGACCUCUUCCUGGAGCGGCCUGUGCAAGAGCUUACUUGGGCAUUGUUUCGCAGGCUAACACAGCCAGCUCAGCUUGAGGCGCUGGAUCUGGGCUCACCUCCACCAGGCUUGGCUUCCUUUCAUGACCUGUAUUCGGUUCUGCUGGCGCAGUAUGAGGCUGUGUCAUUCGGUGACCCACUCUUUGGCUGCUUCAUGCUUUUGCCUCUACAGCGGUGUUACAAUGUCACCAUGAGGCUGGCUGUGUUUGGAGAAAAUGUGGGAAUGCUGCGAUCGCUGGGGGUCCCGCUACAGCAGUUCUGGGCAUCUGGAGCUGUGAUCCAAUUCAUACUGAGAUUUCAUCUGAAAAUACAGUUCACAACAUUGGAUUAUUAGGAGUUGGGAAAGUCUAAUUUAGUAAAAAUGGUUUGUUUAGGGAGUUGCAGGGAUGCAUUAAAUGACUUUUUAUGUACUUUUUUUGCCAUUUAAAGUCAUGAACUGAGAAACCAGAAUUCCCUUGAUCUUUUGGCAUGUAAGAGGUCAUUAUACUGUAAAAACAUGCUGAUUGUUUCAGAACUCAAAACUUUGUUGUUAGUCUAAAAGCAGCUUGUAUUGAAGGCUUGUAGAAUGUUCUGCUCUAGUGUGGAUACUGAGUCCGGGGAGUGAAUUUCGAGUGGGGGUUUCGCUUCACUUCCAGCUGGUUAGGUUUAUUUGGAAAUUAAAGUGAUUUCUAUAUUUUAUCCAUUCAAAACACUAUGAAAGCGAUCCCAGAUCCAGUGUUUAUGUUUCGCUGCGCAAAUGCGUCUUUGGCCUGCAGACUGCAGCCAAUAGAAAUGCUUCUCUAUCGCUGCACGUUCUGCUCCUCACAGCACAGAUUGUGAAAGCAGAAUGCAGUUUUUGUCAUAAAUUGUAAGAGUGUAGAGAGACGAUGUAAAUAAUAGAUUCAGUGUGCAGUGUACUGUAGAGAGCUUCGUUCAUUAAAAUGGAGGUUUGAGAGAUCGCGAUGAAUUAAAGAGGGUAACCGCCUUUAAAUGAUCAUAAAGAGGGUUUGCAAAUGUGCAAUUGAAUUUAUACAACAGUUUUAUACAUUUUUGAUUUUAUACAAAAGUUAAUAUAAAGUGACGCACAUUUUAGGAACACUGUUGUCUAUUUUGCUCUAUUUCAU
Carassius carassius (crucian carp) is the source of this 4158-nucleotide RNA transcript. It is a transcript of the gene named RNA polymerase II-associated protein 1-like, with no coding region annotated. The transcript is spliced from 20 exons. The record is from RefSeq and is a predicted model, not a curated record. Lineage: Eukaryota; Metazoa; Chordata; Actinopteri; Cypriniformes; Cyprinidae.